GUGCAGGACAUCUUUUUUUUUUUUUUUUUUUGACAUCUGUUUGGCCUGCAGGUUCACUGUCCUCUUCUCCAUCAUGCUUUGGGCUCUGAGGGGCUGACCUGAAGGACACACACAGUAGCGGUACCCCCUCCCUCUGCCAUCCCUGGAGACUGGGGGAGAGGGCGAGUGAGAUGGAGCCCUCCAUGUGGGACUGAGCUGUCUGUGUCCCUGGACUCCUGUCUUUCCUGGUAACUACUUCUUUCUGUUGCCCCAUCAGGCCUAGGACUGGUAACUAGGAUACCACACUACAACUUAGGGUUUCUCUGCCUGCGCUGCACUCUGCCUGCACCUUGGGAAACCGUACCUUUAUUAAUCUCUUCAAAUUACCCAGCUUGAGGGUGCCAUUUAUUUCCUGCCAGGACCCUGACUUGAAACACCAAACAAUAUUUACAUUAUCAAAAUGUGAAAACUGACUACUGAUUACCAGAGGAACCUGUGAAAUAACUAUAUUGGGAAGCUGGAGAAAGGGAAAUGGGAACAAUGGUAUAAGAACACCAAAUCCUUAACUGCCAUAGUAGUAGUGAAUAACAAAAUUGAUAAACUGAGAAUGGAAUAAUAUAAGCUAAAAGAGUUGAAAGUGAUGACUUCUGUGAAGAGGGAAGUUGAUGGACAUGAUGUUUCGUUCCCUAUCAACGUUGAUAUCAAUCAGCUUUGAGCUGAAGUCUGAUAGAGGGAAGAAUACAGAAACAUUCUCUUCAGGUUCUCAAAAGACUGGAAAGAAUUUAUUUCAUAAAUACUGCAACUGAAGUGUGCAAUUAGUUAUAAGCUAUUUCAUAUAGGUAAUUUGGAGAAUGCAGGGCACCAUUAAGAAGUGAGUAUUAAUAAGUCUAUUAAAGGUAAGCCAUGAAGAUUAGUUUUGGGGGGCAGUUUUGGGUGGGGUAAAAGUACAAAACUAAGCACCUUUACUGUUCAUUGAGGGAAUUUUCUUCCAUUCAGGUUUCUAAACAAGGAACUUAAGAAGAUGUUGCCUUUUACUGUGUGGCUCAGUGAAAACCUAUAUCAGCAGACACUCACCUGACACAUAUCAAGUGUUGGACUCUGUCCCAAGUGUCCUGUAUACUCUGUUAUCCUCACGGUAACCCUACCAGCUAAGUGCUACUAGCAGUUCAGUUCAGCCGCUCAGUCAUGUCCGACUCUUUGCGACCCCAUGAAUCGCAGCACGCCAGGCCUCCCUGUCCAUCACCAACUCCCUGAGUUCACCCAAACUCAUGUGCAUUGAGUCGUUGAUGCCAUCCAGCCAUCUCAUCCUCUGUCGUCCCCUUCUCCUCCUGCCCCCAAUCCCUCCC
This 1325-nucleotide long non-coding RNA is filed under the name Bos indicus x Bos taurus (hybrid cattle). RNAcentral's name for it is "lncRNA (ENSBIXG00005024092.1)". Lineage: Eukaryota; Metazoa; Chordata; Mammalia; Artiodactyla; Bovidae. The record is from RNAcentral.